This 116-nucleotide ribosomal RNA is filed under the name Pteropus alecto (black flying fox). Lineage: Eukaryota; Metazoa; Chordata; Mammalia; Chiroptera; Pteropodidae. The record is from RNAcentral.
GUCUACGGUCAUGCCACCCCAAACAAGCCCGACGUCUGAUCUCGGAAGCUAAGCAGGGUCAGACCUGGUUAGUAUUUGGAAGGGAGACCACCUAGGAAGACCAGGUGCUGAGGGCA